Molecule: ribosomal RNA, 213 nt
Filed under: uncultured bacterium
Lineage: Bacteria
Description: partial 16S ribosomal RNA
Rfam family: Bacterial small subunit ribosomal RNA
Source: RNAcentral
UCAGUUCGGAUUGCAGCCUGCAACUCGGCUGCAUGAAGCUGGAAUCGCUAGUAAUCGCGGAUCAGAACGCCGCGGUGAAUACGUUCCCGGGUCUUGUACACACCGCCCGUCACACCAUGGGAGCCGGAAACGCCCGAAGCCAGCGGCCCAACCGCAAGGGGGGAGCUGUCGAAGGCGGGGCCGGUGACCGGGGUGAAGUCGUAACAAGGUAGC